GGGAUAAACGCUGGCGGCGUGCAUGAGACAUGCAAGUCAAACGGACGAUCGGGGUUCGCUCUGAUCGUUAGUGGCGGACGGCUGAGUAACGCGUAGGUGACCUGCCCCGAAGUGGGGAAUAACUGCCCGAAAGGGUGGCUAAUACCGCAUGUGGUGGUGCGUUCGAUCGCACCAGUAAAGCCGCAAGGCGCUUCGGGAGGGGCCCGCGUCCGAUUAGCUCGUUGGUGAGGUAACGGCUCACCAAGGCGACGAUCGGUAGGUGGUCUGAGAGGACGAUCACCCAGACUGGGACUGAGACACGGCCCAGACUCCUACGGGAGGCAGCAGUCGGGAAUUUUGCGCAAUGGACGAAAGUCUGACGCAGCAACGCCGCGUGAGGGAUGAAGGCCUUCGGGUUGUAAACCUCUUUUUCCAGGGAAGAUAAUGACGGUACCUGGCGAAUAAGUCACGGCUAACUACGUGCCAGCAGCCGC
This 473-nucleotide ribosomal RNA is filed under the name uncultured bacterium. Its description in RNAcentral is "SSU rRNA". It matches the Rfam family "Bacterial small subunit ribosomal RNA", at positions 27 to 518 of the family's 1533-position model. The record is from RNAcentral.